RNAcentral lists this RNase P RNA (376 nucleotides) under Fidelibacterota bacterium. RNAcentral describes it as "RNase P RNA component class A". It matches the Rfam family "Bacterial RNase P class A". From Rfam's summary of the family: Ribonuclease P (RNase P) is a ubiquitous endoribonuclease, found in archaea, bacteria and eukarya as well as chloroplasts and mitochondria. Its best characterised activity is the generation of mature 5'-ends of tRNAs by cleaving the 5'-leader elements of precursor-tRNAs. The record is from RNAcentral. Lineage: Bacteria; Pseudomonadati; Fidelibacterota.
UGAGCCAGUUGGAUGGUUACUCUUGGAAAACCGUUGGUAGUCCAAGAGAGGAAAGUCCGAGCACCGCAGGAUAGGGUGCCUUGUAACGCAAGGAAUCCGUAAGGAUAUGGAAAGUGCAACAGAAAAAAAACCGCCUUGGCACAUGUGCCAAGGUAAGGAUGAAAAGGUGGUGUAAGAGACCACCAGUCUUUCUGGAGACAUAAAGAGCUUGUAAACCCCACCUGGUGCAAGACCGAAUAGGUUCAGAGAUGUGAUCCGCAUCUUUUGAUGGACGGGUAGGUUGCUUGAUCUCGAUGGUAGCAUUGAGACUAGACGAAUGACCAUCUAUCCCUGAUUUCAGGGUGGACAGGACUCGGCUUACAGACUGGCUCAAAUA